GUCUCAGAUUUGUUCUGAGGAGAGUUGGUUUGUCCUGAUGAAGGUGGAGAUUUGCGUGUUCAUCACUCUAAUCUCAGAUCCUGCUCAUCACAGCCACAGGUAUGUAGCUGUGAUCCGCUCAGAAACCACACGGGGGUCUUACACAUGCAGUCAGGCUCUCAGGAUGAGGGGAGACGCACUCAGUAUGAAAAGAAGGAAGAUGAUGCAACUGAUAGCCAGACCACAGAAAGACUGAACUCCAUCACAACAUCCGCCUGUGCUGCAAUCUGCCUGCUACCUUUACUGUUCCACUGCUGCUAUCUGGAAUAAAAUCAAAGGGAUUUAUUAGCGAGUGACACCCACACGCUGACAAGUUAGCGAGCAGCCUGCUCACUAUUUUAAAUUUAUCAUAACUGAAAUCUGCAGCUGGAUGGCAGCAAAUGGAUGUUUUCUUUUCCACUUCCCCAUUUAUCUGUGUCAGAAAGA
This is a non-coding RNA of Paramormyrops kingsleyae, 465 nucleotides long. The record is from RefSeq and is a predicted model, not a curated record. Lineage: Eukaryota; Metazoa; Chordata; Actinopteri; Osteoglossiformes; Mormyridae.